UACGGGGGGGGCAAGCGUUGUUCGGAAUUACUGGGCGGAAAGGGCUCGUAGGUGGCCAACUAAGUCAGACGUGAAAUCCCUCGGCUUAACCGGGGAACUGCGUCUGAUACUGGAUGGCUUGAGUUCGGGAGAGGGAUGCGGAAUUCCAGGUGUAGCGGUGAAAUGCGUAGAUAUUCGGAAGAACACCAGUGGCGAAGGCGACACACUGGCCCGUUACUGACGCUGAGGCGCGAAAGCGUGGGGAGCAAACAGG
This 253-nucleotide ribosomal RNA is filed under the name uncultured bacterium. Its description in RNAcentral is "partial 16S ribosomal RNA". It matches the Rfam family "Bacterial small subunit ribosomal RNA", at positions 524 to 776 of the family's 1533-position model. The record is from RNAcentral.